UGGCUCCUCUUACUUCUCGUACCCGACAACGCCUUUCCUCAGACCACUUCCGGUGAACAGCGGGAAGAGACUGCAAACCUCCCGAAGGGGAUCCGAGAGCCGAUUUUGACUGCAAGGAGAUAGCUGGGGGCCUACCUUCAAUCAAUCCUUCCGAUCAGUCCUCCUGUUGUGGUUCUACUACACCUGAGUGCGAAAAAUUCCACAACGGAGUCUGCAAGUUGCGACAGGACUCUGGAAGCUGCGACUACACCCUUGACAUCUGCCCUCGGACUGACUCGAAUUGGCUCUGCACUUGCUGCGCUUCAUGUGACGGAGAAGCCCCAAACAACUGUAAGGCUAAUGGAGGCCAUUGUCGAAGGAGUUGCGCAGAGGAGGAGGUGUACGCCUUUUGGCACGACUGCGCUAAAGGAGACUGCAGGUGCUGCAAGGAAUGUCUGCAGAGCACGUGCGCUGAGGGAAGGGUAUCUGCGCCCACCCAGCUCGGGAAUGCCCCAAAGGCUUCUUCCCAAGCGAGCAACUCUGCAGGGGCUUCAAUGAUAAACCGUGCAAGUGCUGCGUCCCUUGUCAACAACCCG
Macrobrachium nipponense is the source of this 575-nucleotide long non-coding RNA. RefSeq lists it as uncharacterized. The transcript is spliced from 5 exons. The record is from RefSeq and is a predicted model, not a curated record. NCBI's taxonomy places the organism in Eukaryota, Metazoa, Arthropoda, Malacostraca, Decapoda, Palaemonidae.